AGAUAACUAUAAGAGUUGCAGUAGAAAGCACUGCAUAAUAAAAAUAUAUCAUGGGCCUUAUCAUUACUAAUAACUGCAAUAAAAACAAAAACCACUUUUGAGAUGAUGAUCCAUGAUGCUAAUAAACUUUUAUAUUGGAUUGGAUCAUUACUAUUAACGACUGCAACAAAAUCAAAGAACACAUUGAAGAGGAUGAAAAUGUUUGUCAUUGUGUGAUGGUGCUGAAUGUCGCCACCUAGUGAAGGCAAGGAUCAAACAUGGGCUAUU
Molecule: long non-coding RNA, 267 nt
Filed under: Elaeis guineensis (African oil palm)
Lineage: Eukaryota; Viridiplantae; Streptophyta; Magnoliopsida; Arecales; Arecaceae
Description: long non-coding RNA (EGUI_LNC021570)
Source: RNAcentral